ACGGCUGCUCAGUAACACGUAGUCAACUUACCCUAUGGACGAGGAUAAUCUCGGGAAACUGAGCAUAAUACUCGAUAGAUCAUAAUGCCUGGAAUGGUUUAUGGUUGAAAUGAUUCGUCGCCAUAGGAUGGGACUGCGGCCUAUCAGCUUGUUGGUGAGGUAAUGGCCCACCAAGGCGAUUACAGGUACGGGCUCUGAGAGGAGAAGCCCGGAGAUGGGUACUGAGACAAGGACCCAGGCCCUAUGGGGCGCAGCAGGCGAGAAAACUUUGCAAUGUGCGAAAGCACGACAAGGUUAAUCCGAGUGAUUUCUGCUAAAGAAAUCUUUUGCAAGUCAUAAAACCACUAGUGAAUAAGGGGUGGGCAAGUUCUGGUGUCAGCCGCCGCGGUAAAACCAGCACCUCAAGUGGUCAGGAGGAUUAUUGGGCCUAAAGCAUCCGUAGCCGGCUCUGUAAAUUUUCGGUUAAAUCCAUGUGCUCAACGCAUGGGCUGCCGAAAAUACUGCAUAGCUAGGGAGUGGGAGAGGUAGACGGUACUCGGUAGGAAGGGGUAAAAUCCUUUGAUCUAUCGAUGACCACCUGUGGCGAAGGCGGUCUACCAGGACACGUUCGACGGUGAGGGAUGAAAGCUGGGGGAGCAAACCGGAUUAGAUACCCGGGUAGUCCCAGCUGUAAACGAUGCAGACUCGAUGAUGCAUUGGCAUAUAGCCAGUGCAGUGUCGCAGGGAAGCCGUUAAGUCUGCCGCCUGGGAAGUACGUACGCAAGUAUGAAACUUAAAGGAAUUGGCGGGGGAGCAG
RNAcentral lists this ribosomal RNA (796 nucleotides) under uncultured marine thaumarchaeote. Its description in RNAcentral is "bacterial SSU rRNA". It matches the Rfam family "Archaeal small subunit ribosomal RNA", at positions 82 to 879 of the family's 1478-position model. Lineage: Archaea; Thermoproteati; Nitrososphaerota. The record is from RNAcentral.